AUCCUUGCGGAAGGGGCAAUAGCGCUAUCAGUGACGCUUUGCGGAGGUGCGCUGUUUGCUAGUUGGAAACUACUCCAAUUCCCGUCAAGUUUGAUCGUCAAGGUCAUUCUUGCAAUUUUUACGUAGGGCCCGAGUCGCCC
This is a small nuclear RNA of 140 nucleotides. It matches the Rfam family "U4 spliceosomal RNA". From Rfam's summary of the family: U4 small nuclear RNA (U4 snRNA) is a component of the major U2-dependent spliceosome. The structure of U4 snRNA from yeast and human has been reported. The record is from Rfam.